GCGAUACGUAAUGUGAAUUGCAGAAUUCAGUGAAUCAUCGAAUCUUUGAACGCACCUUGCGCUCCUUGGUAUUCCUUGGAGCAUGCCUGUUUGAGUAUCAUGAAAUCUUCAAAGUAAAUCUUUUGUUAACUCAAUUGGUUUCUACUUUGGUAUUGGAGGUCUUUGCAGCUUCACACCUGCUCCUCUUUGUUCAUUAGCUGGAUCUCAGUGUUAUGCUUGGUUCCACUCGGCGUGAUAAGUUAUCUAUCGCUGAGGACACUGUAAAAGGUGGCCAAGGUAAAUGCAGAUGAACCGCUUCUAAUAGUCCAUUGACUUGGACAAUACUUUUAUGAUCUGAUCUCAAAUCAGGUAGGACUACCCGCUGAACUUAAGC
Molecule: unclassified non-coding RNA, 373 nt
Filed under: plant metagenome
Description: partial contains 5.8S ribosomal RNA, internal transcribed spacer 2, and large subunit ribosomal RNA
Rfam family: 5.8S ribosomal RNA (bases 1-100)
Source: RNAcentral